RNAcentral lists this ribosomal RNA (253 nucleotides) under uncultured Oscillospira sp. RNAcentral describes it as "partial 16S ribosomal RNA". It matches the Rfam family "Bacterial small subunit ribosomal RNA", at positions 524 to 776 of the family's 1533-position model. Lineage: Bacteria; Bacillati; Bacillota; Clostridia; Eubacteriales; Oscillospiraceae. The record is from RNAcentral.
UACGUAGGGGGCAAGCGUUAUCCGGAUUUACUGGGUGUAAAGGGAGCGCAGGCGGUAUGGCAAGUCAGAUGUGAAAUCCCGCGGCUCAACCGCGGAACUGCAUUUGAAACUGUCAGUCUUGAGUACCGGAGAGGUCAUCGGAAUUCCUUGUGUAGCGGUGAAAUGCGUAGAUAUAAGGAAGAACACCAGUGGCGAAGGCGGCCGCCUGGCCUGUUGCUGACGCUGAGGCACGAAAGCGUGGGGAGCAAAUAGG